Molecule: ribosomal RNA, 497 nt
Filed under: uncultured bacterium
Lineage: Bacteria
Description: partial 16S ribosomal RNA
Rfam family: Bacterial small subunit ribosomal RNA
Source: RNAcentral
GACGAACGCUGGCGGCGUGCCUAAUACAUGCAAGUCGAGCGAACGGACGAGAAGCUUGCUUCUCUGAUGUUAGCGGCGGACGGGUGAGUAACACGUGGAUAACCUACCUAUAAGACUGGGAUAACUUCGGGAAACCGGAGCUAAUACCGGAUAAUAUUUUGAACCGCAUGGUUCAAUAGUGAAAGACGGUCUUGCUGUCACUUAUAGAUGGAUCCGCGCUGCAUUAGCUAGUUGGUAAGGUAACGGCUUACCAAGGCAACGAUGCAUAGCCGACCUGAGAGGGUGAUCGGCCACACUGGAACUGAGACACGGUCCAGACUCCUACGGGAGGCAGCAGUAGGGAAUCUUCCGCAAAGGGCGAAAGCCUGACGGAGCAACGCCGCGUGAGUGAUGAAGGUCUUCGGAUCGUAAAACUCUGUUAUUAGGGAAGAACAUAUGUGUAAGUAACUGUGCACAUCUUGACGGUACCUAAUCAGAAAGCCACGGCUAACUACGUG